RNAcentral lists this ribosomal RNA (476 nucleotides) under uncultured bacterium. RNAcentral describes it as "bacterial SSU rRNA". It matches the Rfam family "Bacterial small subunit ribosomal RNA", at positions 28 to 501 of the family's 1533-position model. The record is from RNAcentral.
GACGAACGCUGGCGGCGUGCCUAACACAUGCAAGUCGAACGGAACUGUUUUGAAAGAUUUCUUCGGAAUGAAUUUGAUUUAGUUUAGUGGCGGACGGGUGAGUAACGCGUGAGUAACCUGCCUUCAAGAGGGGGAUAACAUUCUGAAAAGAAUGCUAAUACCGCAUGACAUAUCGGAAUCACAUGGUUUUGAUAUCAAAGAUUUUAUCGCUUGAAGAUGGACUCGCGUCCGAUUAGUUAGUUGGUGAGGUAACGGCUCACCAAGACCGCGAUCGGUAGCCGGACUGAGAGGUUGAACGGCCACAUUGGGACUGAGACACGGCCCAGACUCCUACGGGAGGCAGCAGUGGGGGAUAUUGCGCAAUGGGGGCAACCCUGACGCAGCAACGCCGCGUGAAGGAUGAAGGUUUUCGGAUUGUAAACUUCUUUUAUUAAGGACGAAACUUGACGGUACUUAAUGAAUAAGCUCCGGCUAAC